UAACGUGACUGGAAAACGUAUUGACAUCACUGAUACUACAAUAUCUAUAUUACUUCUUUUAAAUGUACGAAGAUGUUUCCUUCUUUUUACUUUACCCAAAUGUCCCCAGCACUUGCAACUAAUACCAAUCCUGUUCUACCCCUCGUUCCAACCGACACAAUACAACCCAACACUUGCAACUAUAAGAGUUUCCCGCUAUUGGAAAGCGGCAGCCCACGGGCAGUUUCCUCCUAGCGAAACGCUGCACCUGAAGCGGCGGCAUGUAAACGCAAAAGAUGUGUCUUCUACAAACAAAUGGUUCCCCCAAACUAUUUCUCUGAUUCUCUCCAACCGCUUCAAUGCACAUUCCCUGACUCCCUUCCAUCUUCAUCUCCAACCUUUGAUGUCCGACUAUUACAAAGACCCUAACCCGCCGACAUCCGGCGAACACUAACCCGCCGAACGACAUUCCCCAGCACUGACCCGGGAACCGUACUCACUGCCUAUGUUCCCGCUGCCAAAAAAAAAGUGCUUAGUGAUGGCAUAGGUGUAUUGAUGCCAAAUAACCUUCUUACAUGUUCUUCAAAGAAUGUGCUACCAGUCUUACUUUCUUUUGGACAAGUCAUGCACCUUGCAAUAUCUAAAAUUGAAUGUGGUUUCAUAUGAUCGUGGAUAUGCUAAGAGCCUGAGGAGGAAAAGAACAAAUGACAGGAGCACCCCAAAAAGAUAAUUUAUCUUUGCUCACUGCAUAAUAUUCUUGUAUUUUCGUUUUUCUUUCUCCUUUCUAAACCCUGCACAACUUGCUUUUACAUCUGAAAACAUUGUUCAAUCAUGUCAUUGAGAAGAACCUUUCUUCAUAUUUUGAGAUAGUGUAAAAUUACGUGAUUGGAUGUUAGGUUAGACAGGCUUCUAAUUUUAUUCCUUUGAAGAUAUUUUUUUUGCUAUUUUGGUCUAGUAUUUCCUCAACUCCAAGUGAAAUGAGCAUAUUACCUAACAUUUUUUUGUCUCAAAUUCACUUUUAUGGCAUGCCCUCAGGAUGCAUGUAUCUUUUGUUUACAUGAUAGGAUUUAGGAUAUUAGGUUAGAUAGGCCUUUCAUUUGUUCCUUUAAAGAUAUCUUCUUAGUCUGAGUGUUUCCUCAACUCCAUGUAAAAUAAAAUACUUGCACCUUUUUUGGCACGCCCUAAGGAUUUAUUUUUCUUUACGUGUAUAACCAGUAUCCUACUUAAGCCCAUUGUUACACACUGGUAUGGCAUACUCAUGAUGUACUUUGCAAGAGAUUGAAAACCUAUAUUACUCUUCUAUUACUAACAUAUCAGUAUAAAGUGAAAGCAUAAAUUAAGAGUAUCUCCAACCUUACCUUCAAAUUUGGAGACAUCAAAUGAUUUUGAAGGCUUGCUCGCCAAAUUGACAUUUCGAAAUUUAACAUGUACAAAUUCUCCCUCUCCAACCAUAGCUUCAAAUUGGAGUUGUCAUUAUGUUUUUUGGAUGAUUUUGUUUUCAAAUGGUUAUUUUUCCGAACAAAAAAUAUUUGACAUUGCCUUCAAAACUGGCAUUAGUGAAGGCCAAAUCAACGUAUAGUUUGGCCUUUUCAAGUGGCAGCUGGUGUUGGCUUCAAAAGUGACCAUUACUUUCCACGUGGAAUUUGAAGACCCCCAAUGUGAUAUUCUGUAUGGAAGUGGAACAAAAAUGUUCUAACGUACUCUUAAAGGCAGCAAGGAGAGAGUUAAUGGUUACGACAGGUGUUGUGCAUUUGGGAAGGUGCAAAGGCUAACAGAGAUUUUGAUGGCUACUAAUUUUGCAUAACUUUUGUCAUAUUGAGAAAAUAGCUCAUUAGUUUGGAAUCAAUUUCUUAUCCUUGUAAGGUUCUAAUUGUGGUAACUGACUUGUACAGCAAUAGACAUGUUGUCACAAGACAUAUAUUUUCUCUGGAUUAAGAACAUUGGAUUCAUGUAUAAAGUAAACGAAGAAGCCAGCCUUUAUAGAAUUACAAAAAACAAGCCCGCAUUUAACAAAUAGCCCAAUAUCUUCCCUACCCCCAAGACAAAUUGAAACACGGUAUUGUGCAAGUUUUUGAUUGCCAGACACAUGCAAACAUCAUCUAAUUGUGCCUCAUCCACGCUACAUUCCACGUGCAACGCACGUGUACAUCAACUAGUA
Long non-coding RNA from Rhododendron vialii, 2137 nucleotides. RefSeq lists it as uncharacterized. The transcript has 2 exons. NCBI's taxonomy places the organism in Eukaryota, Viridiplantae, Streptophyta, Magnoliopsida, Ericales, Ericaceae. The record is from RefSeq and is a predicted model, not a curated record.